Daphnia magna is the source of this 384-nucleotide long non-coding RNA. RefSeq lists it as uncharacterized. The record is from RefSeq and is a predicted model, not a curated record. The transcript has 3 exons. Lineage: Eukaryota; Metazoa; Arthropoda; Branchiopoda; Diplostraca; Daphniidae.
AAGCAGACUAUUCUUGGCUGUUUUGUUUUGUUUUUUUCAAUUCGCUCUCAUUCAAGCUUUGUGAAUAAUAGAAGUUUGGAUUAUUCAUCCUCAGCUUUGAAAUACCUGAUUGAUUUUGACAUCACAAGAACGGUUACUGAUACAAGUGUUAGUCAAAAUCCAUUAUUUUUACGAGUAAGAAUGGUCAAGUGGAUUUUCCUAGAUGAUGGUGUUACAGCCAUCAAUGAUGUGACAGGGGAAGUGUACAAGUUCGAGCCAUCAGUAAAUUACAAUGGACAAGGGCAGGCUCCACAAAAUGCAACGGAUGAGUCUGCCAACUUGAAAGCAAACCAGAAGAAUCCUUUUAUUAUAAAUACUGAGAAGUCUGUCACUUCAGAUCCUGCC